This 253-nucleotide ribosomal RNA is filed under the name uncultured bacterium. Its description in RNAcentral is "partial 16S ribosomal RNA". It matches the Rfam family "Bacterial small subunit ribosomal RNA", at positions 524 to 776 of the family's 1533-position model. The record is from RNAcentral.
UACGAAGGGUGCAAACGUUGCUCGGAAUUAUUGGGCGUAAAGCGCACGUAGGCGGCUAUCUAAGUCGGAUGUGAAAUCCCUCGGCUUAACCAAGGAAGUGCACCCGAAACUGGAUAGCUUGAGUACAGAAGAGGAUCGCGGAAUUCCCGGUGUAGAGGUGAAAUUCGUAGAUAUCUGGAGGAACACCGGUGGCGAAGGCGGCAUCCUGGACCGAUACUGACGCUGAGGAGCGAAAGCCAGGGGAGCAAACGGG